Hylaeus anthracinus is the source of this 3083-nucleotide long non-coding RNA. RefSeq lists it as uncharacterized. NCBI's taxonomy places the organism in Eukaryota, Metazoa, Arthropoda, Insecta, Hymenoptera, Colletidae. The transcript has 5 exons. The record is from RefSeq and is a predicted model, not a curated record.
ACUCCGUGUAAUAACACGCUCCUACGGCUUGUGUACACACAUCGGCCGCCACUUUUGUGCAACUAUUACGGCAAUUACCCUGCCUGCACCCCCACCCCCACCCCACCCCCCAACCGCACCAUCCCAACCGCGUCGAUCGCUUCGACAUCAACUGUUGCACGAGUUAUCCGCGACUCUCGACGGAAUUCGUUACGUGUUCCCGUUGAUUAAUUGAUUCAUUAGCCACCAACAAACACGAACUUUCCACUCUGGACCUAAAAAUGAUCGUUCGGGGAGGGGAGGCAGGACUAGCUGGUGUCUAGACGACCAACAGAUUAGGGGUUGUUCAGAGUUUUCCGAAUAGGUCGUCGAGCUUUGAAUUUAUCAGUCCCAGGGACGGGCAUUAACUUGUAUUAACGCUAGGUUCACGGUGAUUCCUUAUCGGAUUUUCAUUAGUGAAGUAAUGCUUUAAUAAGUGAAUUUGAAUAUAUGCUUGCCCUUUUAUAUGGAUAAAAGUCAGCGUGGUUGGUUGGCGAAAAAUAUAAAUGGUUUCUGUAAAACUUUGUCAAAUUAGAAAUGGGUCACCUAAACCUAACGUUACACUCGUAUUUUAUUCUUACUGUUUUAUUGAGUCAACUCUGAUACUUGAUUUGUCACAAAUGUGUAGAUUGCAUAAAUUAAAAACUAUCGUCAUUACUGAUUCCAAGUCAUAGGUAUUCGCGUUCUGUCUUUCGAAAUUAAGUGUAAUUGUAAUAUUAACGAAUAUCGAGGGUGACUCAAAUGCGGGAGACAAUAUUUUUACCCAGACCUAACCCAUUCGCUACCAGAUGAAUUUAAAGCGUUUUGCCUUAGGCAUCAAGACCUAAUACAAAUGUAUAAUCUAAAUUAUUAUUUUCGUAAUAAAAAGUGAUAUUUUUAUUCUUUCAAAAAGAAAAUUUCCGAUCAUUCUUUCGUAAUUAUUCGUGACUCAAAAACUUAUCCCUUGAGUAAUUGAAAUCAGUUUGAACUAGGAGGCAUCUCGUAGUGAAUUGGUUAAACUUGCCAAUUCAUGCAUCCUCGAAUCUAUGAUUCUUCAAAGAAAAUACAAAGUAAUUUACCAAUUGUAAAUCACAACCAUAAGGCGAUCCUAAUGUAUCGAACGAAACUCCAAUCGAUCAUUUUAAGUUCACUAAUCUCGAAAGUGUGCUCGUUCUCCGUCGAACUCUUUCCGAAGUCCGCCAAUUCAUCUCCCGAUUGGAAUCGUUGGUUCGCGCAGACUGAAAAUUAGAAUUCGUCGAUUGGAAGGGAGAAUCGGUAAAACUCUUUGAUGGGAGGGAUAGAUCCUCGCGAGUGAUCAGGGGAAAUUGAUGACUGUCUUAAUGGAGGAACGAAGAGGAACAGCGUGGAUCUUCCUGUUCAACGGAAUCGAUAACAAACGUGGAAUCCCCGUCUGAAGACCACACCGAUUUGUGAAUCCGCGUCCUGAACGACCACUUGCUACUUGUUUGCCUCUUCUAUCAUCCUGUAGGAAGGAAAAAGAUCACAGUUCAUGGAUCUUAGAAAAAAAAAAGACUACGCAGAGAAAAAAGAAGAUGACCAGUCGGUAAGGAUAAACAUUCUAUCACACCUUCUGUCGGCAUGUCCAGAAUGUACGCAGUCGGUAAGGAUAAGUGUUCAGUCAUGUUUUCUAUCGGUAAAACUCGGCAAUGUAGAGCCCUAAUUAAUCGCAGGAUUUUCUAUCUUCUUCCUUUGAUUGAUUAAAGUACGGAGUUGACAACUUCAACUACAACGCUGUUCGAUACAUCAUCUUUUGGAUCAAAAUGCUUUACAUAGUCCUUCACAUUAUAUCGUUUUACACGUUUUUAGUCCUUAACAUUGAGCUUCCACAGCCAGAAUCCUUAAUUUCUUACAUAAUUUCCAUUUCCAUUGCAUUUCUUCGCAUGCUGUCGAUGACCACCGACUACAAUCAAACUACAGCCCCUGAAGGCGCAGGAUUUUCAUCAACAGAGUUCUACGUUGCAAACAGACCAAUCUGUCUUUAAAAAAAAAAAAGAAAAUGUGAAAUUGAUUCCAAAAAUACAUCAUCUCGAAAGGAAUAAGCGUAGAAGUAUCGUUGCCUUAAAUUUAAGUCUCAGCUCCAAGCAUCUCCGAUGACACCGAUUUUCGCGUCGCGCGGAGACAGUCACCAGUAGCUUCGAUGACGAGUAACGUUGAUCGUGACAGCGAUGCCGAUGAUGAUAGCAGCCCGAACACAUCGCUAAGUAGUAGGUGGAAGCGGGCUUGACCUACUUCGAUCGUGGCAACAAAGAAAAAAGUCUUGGACGGUUCCCCGGGGUCAUGAGCCUCAGACGCGGGGAAUUAAAACUUGUUCCUAUUGGUUGCCUUAGCGGGAGCACAGGCUGCCAACAGAAGUCACGCAUGCCUGCUGCGUGAUUCCCCUCGUGUACACGCGGCCUGUGUUUCUUGUUCCUUUAAAUCUCGUCUGCAUUUAAUUUUCUCGCUUCUCCGAAGAUGCAUCCCGUCGCUCGACCAGGGAUUUUCACUCUCUGUAAAAAUGACUCGCCCCUACUGGAAUCUUACGUAAGCGAUUGUACUCGGAGUCAACUGUUUCGGGUCAGAUCGGCUAAAGAUUGCGUCACCUUUUGCUUACCUUUCGAAGCGUUUUAUAACAUCGGGUUAAAGUUCAGGACAAAAGUUUCUUUCGUUUUAUUUAUAUUUAAAUACGUAUAUAGUAUUUUAUGUUUUACAUUACAUCGUUCAGCUUUACGAUCUCAAACAGGAGAACGUAAAAAGAUGAAUGGUUAAGAGACAAAUUUCAUCCGGACAAAGACUACCGAAGCAUAAUCAAGAGUUUAAAUAAACGCAACUUAAAAGGUAUAUAGAGAUGCUUCCCUGAAACGACAUAAGAGCCACCACGCUUCUCGACUUCAAAAAGACUACUACUCUUCAAGCCUCUUUUACGAAUUAUACGCACACUAAGCAAAGCUAAUUUGUAUCUUUGAUGUACAUGCGUCUCGGCGCACUUAAUUUUAUCUAAACGUCUCAACGCAGUUUGCGGAUAAAUUGAAACUUUUACGGGAAUCGAAUAGGUCCGUCAAGUAUCAUAAAAUAGCGUAUAGAGUAAC